ACGGGUGAGUAAUGCGUAAGAAUCUGCCCUUUAGUGAGGAAUACCCUCGAGAAAUUGAGGUUAAUACUGCAUACGUCUCUUACGAGAGAAAGGUGGCUUUAUGCUGCCGCUGAAGGAUGAGCUUGCGUGCUAUUAGCUAGUUGGUAGGGUAAAGGCCUACCAAGGCAAAGAUGGCUAACCGGCCUGAGAGGGUGUACGGUCACACUGGAACUGAGACACGGUCCAGACUCCUACGGGAGGCAGCAGUGAGGAAUAUUGCGCAAUGGGCGAAAGCCUGACGCAGCGACGCCGCGUGGAGGAUGAAGGUCUUUGGAUUGUAAACUUCUGUUGAGCGGGAAGAAAUGCCAGUUUUUAAUAGAGAUUGGCGAUGACGGUACCGCUAGAGAAAGCACCGGCUAACUUCGUGCCAGCAGCCGCGGUAAUACGAAGGGUGCGAGCGUUAUUCGGAGUGGCUGGGCGUAAAGGGUGUGUAGACGGUAUGUUAAGCUUGUUGUUAAAUUCUCCGGCCUAACUGGAGGCAAGCAGUGAGAACUGGCGUACUAGAGGAUGGAAGAGAGAAGUGGAAUUCCCGGA
RNAcentral lists this ribosomal RNA (573 nucleotides) under uncultured bacterium. Its description in RNAcentral is "bacterial SSU rRNA". It matches the Rfam family "Bacterial small subunit ribosomal RNA", at positions 102 to 674 of the family's 1533-position model. The record is from RNAcentral.